AGGGAGAGAUUCAUCAACCUCUCAAGCACCUCUGCUAAUGAUCUAGAGCAUCCAAAGAGUUGGCAGAUCAAGAUCGAAGGAGUUCGAUCAACAUCGACCGUCGAAAGGGUUCUGCCAUGAAUUAGUAUUCGUGAGGAGCUGAUCAGAUCAGAAGCUUCAUGUGGAUGAUCCACAUAGGCCAGAUAUACUGUGUGGCUAUAUUACAAUGAUUAGACCCUCCCGAUGGUGAUCAGAUUACGACGAUCGACUACCCACAC
This 257-nucleotide long non-coding RNA is filed under the name Elaeis guineensis (African oil palm). RNAcentral's name for it is "long non-coding RNA (EGUI_LNC075219)". Lineage: Eukaryota; Viridiplantae; Streptophyta; Magnoliopsida; Arecales; Arecaceae. The record is from RNAcentral.